This 567-nucleotide long non-coding RNA is filed under the name Manihot esculenta (cassava). RNAcentral's name for it is "long non-coding RNA (MESC_LNC005730)". Lineage: Eukaryota; Viridiplantae; Streptophyta; Magnoliopsida; Malpighiales; Euphorbiaceae. The record is from RNAcentral.
AAUCCUUGUAAGCAUUAUCCAAAAGUAGAACAAAGUGCACCUGCCAACAACAAUUGAAGAGAUACAAAUUGUCAGGUAAUUGUGGAGUAUAUGUGGCCCUUAAGCAUCUAUAGAAAUCAAAUGGCAUUUGGAUGUUGUUCCAUCGCAAGAGCCCCUAGUUUUCAUCCACACCUCUUUGAAGUCAUCUGCAAAUUCUUUGACUGUAGAUAUAGCCACUGUAGCAGCUUCCUUUAAAGGAUACCUAAACAAAUAUAGAAAAAUUGAGAGUGGUAAUGAAAUUGUUACUAAUUAUAGAACAACAAACUUUGUGAAUUUAGUAUCAGUUAUCUCAUCCUUGACACUUGGGAUUCUUGUACAUAUUGAUGGCCAGGACUUGCAGACAGCAAGCUAAUAUCUGAACAUACCCAACUGUUUCUCCAAACAACUCUCAACUCUCAAGGCAUAUGGGGCUACAACUCGACCGAUGCUUUCAACAAGAAAAGUUUUUUAUCUACUCAAGAUGGAGUUGUGCAAAUGCAAUAAAUUCAUCCAGAGUCCAGCAGAAAUAUAGGAAUCAACAGAAAAAAG